ACAAGGAAGAUGUUUUAACAGGAACUUCCAACACCUCUGGCACUAAAUCAAUCUCAGGAAAUGAUGCUUUGGAAUUCUGAACCUCGCAUUUGUGCUUAGGUGAAACUUGUACGGACUCAUCCAGAGAAGGGACAGACGACGGAACAUUCGAAUUGACCACAGGAGGUGAAAAAGGUAAAUUAGUAGUAUCAGAAACAUUCCUUUUCUCGAAUGCUCUACUCAAUUCCCUGUCAUCUCUAUCCCAAACAAUUGGAGAAAACUUCCGCUUCUUAUUCUGGACAGGCAAUGAUUGUUUUCCAUUUUCUGACGUCUUAACCUCACUCUCUAUAUUAAUCCGAGAUUCCAAAUCACUAGCCCCAUCAGACCCGUCACUAGACAGCUCCCCAGGCUCUCGAUCCAUGACCCGAACUGCCAAUCAGAAAGUACUGGUGAGCCAGUAAAUGAAGUAGCUGGAAAUUUCCUACGCAACUGAUUGUAUCUGAAAUGAAUGCAUCACCAAUUAGUAGAAACGUGACAUUUUAGAAAAAUAUUUAAAACUGUCACCCAUAGAGACCAGAAAGCUAGAUAAUAACCAACCUUAGCCUGAAACCAGUGAAAAGAGUAGCAAAAUGAUGAUGAUGAUGAUGAUAAUAAUAAUCAACUAGUAUAUGGAUUGAAUAUACAAGAUACAAGAACCUACUUAUUCUUGACAAAGUUAACCUUCACCCCAGGAAGUCUAGAAAACCCAGGCCAGAUUGUCUCAUUUGGUGUGCCGAGGAUUCUGAAAAUCUGCAAUAAACAUCAUGAAAGAAACUAAUCAGGCUAUAUGUUAUCCACAUUUAAUAAAAAUCAUAAACUGCAUUAUGAAUAAGAUGCUGACAUAUUUUACCUUGUCAAGCUGAUCAAACUCUGUUUUUCCACUAAACAAGGGCUCUUUUGAUAACAGUUCAGCCAUAAUGCAUCCCACAGACCACAUAUCAAUUGCAGUAGAAUAUUGUUUGGCUCCCAGAAGAAGUUCUGGCGCCCUGCAAAUGAACUUCUAGUUCAAUUUAUCUUAAAUCAGAGAGCAUAAAAUAUGCACAAUAAAAUCAAGAACUAAGAUGCACUACUGUUGACAACGAUAGUGGUAUCAAGUAUUAGAAUUAUUUUAGCUUUAAUGUUAUAUGGGAAAAUGAUGUGACAAAAGGCUGAGGAAAAUUGCACCAAAUAUGGAACUAAAUUUCUGAACAGAUAAAAUUAGAUCUAUCCAUAUUGGCAAAAAGGCAUUUAUGCACUCUCAAGAUACUAUAGGACUAUUAUAGCACAUGAAUACUUGUAAGAGUUACAAAUAGGUGAUUGUAAACUAAUCAUCAGGAUAAAAGAGCCAAAGAAGAAGUGACGCACACCUGUACCACAAAGUAACCACCAAAUGAGUAUAAGGUUUCAGGGGGCUCCCAUAUUGCCGAGCCAGACCAAAAUCGCAGAUUUUCAGCUCCCCUCGAUUAUUUAAAAGUAAAUUAGAUGUUUUCAGAUCUCGGUGAAGUACCCAAUUAUCAUGAAGAUAUUUGACACCCUCUAACAGCUGGAGCGUAAGGCAUUUAACUUCACUUUGACUAAACGGCUGUCUCAUUGUCUCCAUCAAUCCCUUAAGAUCAUGUUCCAUAUACUCCAUGACCAUGAAGAUGCUGUCAAGAUUGCUACCCACAACUACUUCUUUGACAUCCACUGCUGAAGGAUGCUGAAAAGAGAGAAGGAUGUUAAUUUCUCGAAGUGAAGUCAGAGGAAACCCUUCUCUCUCUUUCUCCAUCUUGACCUUCUUCAAAGCAACAAUUUCUCCAGACUUCUUGUCCCUGGCUCUAUAAACAAUCCCGUAAGUGCCUUCAUUUAUCUUGUUCAAUCUCUCAAACUCAUCAACACUUCUGCACCCCCGAAGCAUAUUCACACUCCUUUCUGGGGUGAGUGCAGUCUCUGGUGUACCACAAGAACCUAGUUCAUCCACAGAUUCCAUAUCCGACUGGCUAACACUAGUAGCACCAUAAUUUCGGUCCUCAUCUAUCUCCAUGUAGUCAUUCUUAUCAACGUUGUUAGGGUAACUAUCUCUACUAGAAGACCUAACACACUCAUCAGAUCCAGAGGACCUCCCCCUAGUUCCUUUAGAUCCUUCGGCUUUAACCUCUCCAAGCUCUGGACUUCUUGAUUUCCUAUGCCCCCAUACUAGAGCCGACUCAGUACCAGACCUCCGCACCUUCCAUUUAGGCGUAUCUCCAUUAUCAUGAAUCACACCUUCAUCAACUGGGGAGUCAGCAUUAUUUGCCCAACGAGAGGAAACAAUGGUUCGAGUAGACUCAAAAUCUUCAGCGUCAAAUUCCUCUGCUCCCUGGUCACCACCAGGACACUCUUCGUUGGGAGACAAGGAAGAUGUUUUAACAGGAACUUCCAACACCUCUGGCACUAAAUCAAUCUCAGGAAAUGAUGCUUUGGAAUUCUGAACCUCGCAUUUGUGCUUAGGUGAAACUUGUACGGACUCAUCCAGAGAAGGGACAGACGACUGAACAUUCGAAUUGACCACAGGAGGUGAAAAAGGUAAAUUAGUAGUAUCAGAAACAUUCCUUUUCUCGAAUGCUCUACUCAAUUCCCUGUCAUCUCUAUCCCAAACAACUGGAGAAAACUUCCGCUUCUUAUUCUGGACAGGCAAUGAUUGUUUUCCAUUUUCUGACGUCUU
RNAcentral lists this long non-coding RNA (2680 nucleotides) under Olea europaea (common olive). RNAcentral's name for it is "long non-coding RNA (OEUR_LNC002935)". Lineage: Eukaryota; Viridiplantae; Streptophyta; Magnoliopsida; Lamiales; Oleaceae. The record is from RNAcentral.